GGCGCAAGCCGGCUUAUCGCUUUGAUCCGAUUUUAAUCGGGCCGAAGAGGAAAGUCCGGGCAACGCAGAGCAUCGUACUUCCUAACGGGAAGGCCCCGACUUGUCGGGGACAGACAGUGCCACAGAAAACAAACUACCUGGCCCCGACUUUGUCGGGACCGGGAAAAGGUGAAACGGUGGGGUAAGAGCCCACCGCCAUACCAGCGAUGGUGUGGGCACGGCAAACCUUACGAGUUGAAAGGCCAAAUAGGCUCCGGUUAAGAACUGCUCGUUCAAAAGAAUACUUCGGUAUUCCAUCGGGGUUGGGUAGGCUGCUAGAUCCGAGUGGCAACAUCCGGACCAGAUAAAUGAUAAGCACCCCGAUUUUGUUGGGGAACAGAACCCGGCUUACAGGCUUGCACUUUUU
This 406-nucleotide RNase P RNA is filed under the name Cyclobacteriaceae bacterium. Its description in RNAcentral is "RNase P RNA component class A". It matches the Rfam family "Bacterial RNase P class A". Rfam says of the family: Ribonuclease P (RNase P) is a ubiquitous endoribonuclease, found in archaea, bacteria and eukarya as well as chloroplasts and mitochondria. Its best characterised activity is the generation of mature 5'-ends of tRNAs by cleaving the 5'-leader elements of precursor-tRNAs. Cellular RNase Ps are ribonucleoproteins. Lineage: Bacteria; Pseudomonadati; Bacteroidota; Cytophagia; Cytophagales; Cyclobacteriaceae. The record is from RNAcentral.